Molecule: ribosomal RNA, 501 nt
Filed under: uncultured bacterium
Lineage: Bacteria
Description: bacterial SSU rRNA
Rfam family: Bacterial small subunit ribosomal RNA
Source: RNAcentral
GAUGAACGCUAGCGGCAGGCUUAAUACAUGCAAGUCGAGGGGCAGCACGGUUAGCAAUAACUGGUGGCGACCGGCGCACGGGUGCGUAACACGUAUACAAUCUACCUUAAACAGGGGGAUAGCCUUUCGAAAGAGAGAUUAAUACCCCGUAAUAAAUUGAACGGCAUCGUUUGAUUUUGAAAGCUCCGGCGGUUUGAGAUGAGUAUGCGUCUGAUUAGCUAGUUGGUGAGGUAACGGCUCACCAAGGCGACGAUCAGUAGGGGAUCUGAGAGGACUAACCCCCACACUGGUACUGAGACACGGACCAGACUCCUACGGGAGGCAGCAGUAAGGAAUAUUGGUCAAUGGAGGCAACUCUGAACCAGCCAUGCCGCGUGCAGGAUGACGGCCCUAUGGGUUGUAAACUGCUUUUUAUACAAGAGAAAACCCUGGUACGUGUACCAGGUUGAUAGUAUUGUAAGAAUAAGCAUCGGCUAACUUCGUGCCAGCAGCCGCGGUAAU